CAAUCAUAUGCUUGUCUCAAAGAUUAAGCCAUGCAUGUCUAAGUAUAAGUGUUUAUACGGCGAAACUGCGAAUGGCUCAUUAUAUCAGUUAUAAUCUACUUGAUCGAAUCUGUUACUUGGAUAACUGUAGGAAUUCUAGAGCUAAUACAUGCAAAAAAUUCGGACCGGGGGUGACCUUGGGAAGAAUGUGUUUACUAGUCGAGAAACCAAGAUGGGGCAUUCAACUUCGGGCAACCGAGGGUUCCAUUCAACAGACGAAUCAUAGUAAGUUAACGCGA
RNAcentral lists this ribosomal RNA (278 nucleotides) under uncultured eukaryote. Its description in RNAcentral is "partial 18S ribosomal RNA". It matches the Rfam family "Eukaryotic small subunit ribosomal RNA", at positions 22 to 268 of the family's 1831-position model. The record is from RNAcentral.